This 460-nucleotide ribosomal RNA is filed under the name uncultured bacterium. Its description in RNAcentral is "partial 16S ribosomal RNA". It matches the Rfam family "Bacterial small subunit ribosomal RNA", at positions 338 to 795 of the family's 1533-position model. The record is from RNAcentral.
CCUACGGGUGGCAGCAGUGAGGAAUAUUGGUCAAUGGACGAGAGUCUGAACCAGCCAAGUAGCGUGAAGGAUGACUGCCCUAUGGGUUGUAAACUUCUUUUAUAUGGGAAUAAAAUGUUCCACGUGUGGGAUUUUGUAUGUACCAUAUGAAUACGGAUCGGCUAACUCCGUGCCAGCAGCCGCGGUAAUACGGAGGAUCCGAGCGUUAUCCGGAUUUAUUGGGUUUAAAGGGAGCGUAGGUGGAUUGUUAAGUCAGUUGUGAAAGUUUGCGGCUCAACCGUAAAAUUGCAGUUGAAACUGGCAGUCUUGAGUACAGUAGAGGUGGGCGGAAUUCGUGGUGUAGCGGUGAAAUGCUUAGAUAUCACGAAGAACUCCGAUUGCGAAGGCAGUUCACUGGACUGCAACUGACACUGAGGCUCGAAAGUGUGGGUAUCAAACAGGAUUAGAUACCCUUGUAGUC